Long non-coding RNA from Ochotona princeps (American pika), 290 nucleotides. RefSeq lists it as uncharacterized. Lineage: Eukaryota; Metazoa; Chordata; Mammalia; Lagomorpha; Ochotonidae. The record is from RefSeq and is a predicted model, not a curated record. The transcript is spliced from 3 exons.
UAAAGUGAGCCUGCAAGGCGUGGGGGGCGCGGGAUUGGGAGAGAUUGAGGGCAGGUCCCAGGGAAUUGGUGCCUGCAAGUGAAUGCCUAAAAAUGACUGGUGGACUGGUGUGAAUUUCUUGAGCCGUGAAGAACAGAAAAUGGCGUCGGGUCCAGGGUGGCAGGGUCUCCAUGACGACCUUCAAAUCGCUCCUUGCAACUACACAAUCUGGCAUGGCAAAGAAUGCUCAUUCCUGCUGUGAGCUGUCCCUCAACCAUUGACAGGCAGCAAGGAACAUGUGCCCUAGCAGA